UCCGGUUGAUCCUGCCGGACCUGACUGCUAUCGGAUUGGUACUAAGCCAUGCGAGUCGUUGUAGCAAUACAAGGCGGACGGCUCAGUAACACGUAGUCAACCUAACCUAUGGACGUGGAUAACCUCGGGAAACUGAGAAUAAACCGCGAUAGAUCAUUAUGCCUGGAAUGGCUUAUGGUUCAAACAAUUUAUUGCCGUAGGAUGGGACUGCGGCCUAUCAGCUUGUUGGUGAGGUAAUGGCCCACCAAGGCUAUAACAGGUACGGGCUCUGAGAGGAGAAGCCCGGAGAUGGGUACUGAGACACGGACCCAGGCCCUAUGGGGCGCAGCAGGCGAGAAACCUUAGCAAUGUGCGAAAGCACGACUAGGUUAAUCCGAGUGAUUUCUGUUGAAGAAAUCUUUUGUCAGUCGUAAAACCACAGACGAAUAAGGGGUGGGCAAGUCUGGUGUCAGCCGCCGCGGUAAUACCAGCACCUCGAGUGGUCAGGAGGUUUAUUGGGCCUAAAGCAUCCGUAGCCGGCUACGCAAGUCUCCGGUUAAAUCCAGCUGCUCAACAGAUGGGCUGCCGGAGAUACUACAUAGCUAGGGAGCGGGAGAGGUAGACGGUAUUCUGUGGGUAGGGGUAAAAUCCACUGAUCCAUAGAGGACCACCAGUGGCGAAGGCGGUCUACCAGAACGCGUUCGACGGUGAGGGAUGAAAGCUGGGGGAGCAAACCGGAUUAGAUACCCGGGUAGUCCCAGCUGUAAACGAUGCAAACUCGGUGAUGCAUUGGCUUAUGGCCAAUGCAGUGCCGCAGGGAAGCCGUUAAGUUUGCCGCCUGGGAAGUACGGACGCAAGUCUGAAACUUAAAGGAAUUGGCGGGGGAGCA
RNAcentral lists this ribosomal RNA (868 nucleotides) under uncultured archaeon. RNAcentral's name for it is "bacterial SSU rRNA". It matches the Rfam family "Archaeal small subunit ribosomal RNA", at positions 1 to 878 of the family's 1478-position model. The record is from RNAcentral.